This is a long non-coding RNA of Mastomys coucha (southern multimammate mouse), 922 nucleotides long. RefSeq lists it as uncharacterized. The record is from RefSeq and is a predicted model, not a curated record. Lineage: Eukaryota; Metazoa; Chordata; Mammalia; Rodentia; Muridae. The transcript has 2 exons.
GGCCGCGGGCGGGCGCCUCUGCCAACUGUCCGGCUUCGCGCGCGCCUGCGCAGGCGACCCAGCGGGCGGGUGGCCGGCGCGGGUGGUGGAAAUGGCCGACGGGCUUGGAGGACCUUAGCCGGGCCCGGAGGCGCCGUUCUCGCGAGAACGUGCCGAAGCCAUGGCUACUGGGCCCUGAAGGGGCGCGGGCAAAGCGCCAGUCGAGAAGCGGGGCGGGCUGUGCAGACGCGAGCUGCAAGCUAGAGUGUCGCUCCCAGACCCUGCCACCCUCUGGUGGGUGACUUGCUGAUCUCUAUGGGAACUUCGUCCUGGGUCGAGUCUGAUUUUAAAAUUGGAGAUCUGUCUUUUGAGCCAGUGAUCCAGCAUUUCCCGUGCCACCUGCAGUCCUGUCGAGUAUGGGACCUUUGCAGACCCUUCCAUGAUGAUAACGUCACAACCCAUCAAAGUGAAAUGUGUGCCUUUUGUCAAAGCAACGAACUGUAGCCUUCCUGAGAAGCCGUGCUCUGGGCAGUGUCUUACCUUCUUCUAAGCACCUUUUCCUCUUAGUCCCUGUGCUUAGAUGGCUCACAGCCAUCUAAUCCCAUUUCUAGAAGAUCUGAGGCCCCUUUCUGGCAUUCUGCAGGCACUGAAUGUACACAAUCCAACACCUACUUACAGGCAAACACCCAUACAUAUGAAGGAAAAAUAAGGUUUUUUAAGAGAGAGACUUGUGUUCCUCUCUUCAUUAUCAAACUAUUGAGAUAAGGGGUCUCAAGAAUUAGGAAUUUCCCCAGGAAUAUCAUACUGAAGGAGGAGAAAGGUUGAAUCCUGUGCAGCAAGAUCAAAGGUCUUUUGCUUUGGAUUAAAAACCAUGUCUGUAAAAAAUACAGAUUUGUGGGUUAAGUAUUUCUAAAGCUACUAAAGUGUGAUCUAACCAAUGGUA